RNAcentral lists this ribosomal RNA (242 nucleotides) under uncultured bacterium. Its description in RNAcentral is "partial 16S ribosomal RNA". It matches the Rfam family "Bacterial small subunit ribosomal RNA", at positions 15 to 253 of the family's 1533-position model. The record is from RNAcentral.
GAUCAUGGCUCAGAUUGAACGCUGGCGGCAGGCCUAACACAUGUAAGUCGAACGGUAACAGAAAGCAGCUUGCUGCUUUGCUGACGAGUGGCGGACGGGUGAGUAAUGUCUGGGAAACUGCCUGAUGGAGGGGGAUAACUACUGGAAACGGUAGCUAAUACCGCAUAACGUCGCAAGACCAAGGAGGGGGACCUUAGGGCCUCUUGCCAUCGGAUGUGCCCAGAUGGGAUUAGCUAGUAGGG